UAAACCUGAGGGUGCCUGUCAAUAUGAGAGUUGACUGGAAAGCUAUAUUGUGCUGAAAGUCUCUCUUAGAUGUAAUGGGUUGUAGGAUUUAAACUGUUCUCCACUGGGAACUUGCUCCAUCUCCCCACCCUCUUUGUGUUUGGAGUGCCAAAAGCAAUAUGGAUAUCUGUUAGCAAGAUGCUACAUCCUAAUGAGGGUCAUUCAUACAACCUUUUUUGCAUUCAUACUGAAUACCUGACACCACUUCUUUUCACUUCAGACUCAGUGAUUAGCUCCACAAUAUGCAAUUACAUUGCUGUCUUAACUAGCUGUUUUCCUCAAGGAUCACAUUGCAAAUGAGCAUUAUGAUGGUUGAAGAGUUUUUUCUGAAAAGUAAAAUGAACUAUAACAUGCAAAAACAGAGUUCGGAUCUGUGGGAAACAAAACAGCAUGACUGGAAGAUGAAAUCACUGGAAACAGAAUAAGAAACAAAAAUGCCAGGUGGGAGACAGACCCACUGAAAAGCGACAAUUAGUUCAAAAGAGAACAAGCUGACCACAGAAAUUCCUUCAGACAACCGCAGCAGCCAUUUCAGGAUCACUCAUCAGAAUCAAUUUCUGACUCAUCUUGCAGGCCAAUAUGAACUUGAACAGCAAUUGUAGCAGUCUCCUACAAGAAAAUUUCUCCUUAUGUUUUUAAAGGUUUUGUGUAUAUAUAUAAAAACAAGAAGGGAGUUAAACUUUGAUGCCUGCAUGGUUUGGGCCUUAUCAUUUGGGUCUCAUCCUGCUCCCAUUGAAGACUGCCUUGAAUCAAUAUCAGGCCCUUGAUUUUCAGUGCGUCCCAUCGCUGCAGUGAAGGCUAGGGAUUAGGGCCAGACUCCUUCAAUGGAUAGUGUGAAAUUAAAAUGUUUUUUGCCUCCAUCUUUGAUUGAGCAUGCAUGGAAGAUCUCUAGCUGCAAGAUGCAUGUACAUUUACAAGAUGUAAACCUGCAAAGCCUGGCUUUGGGGGAAUAUUUAUUCUGGUUUCAGAUAAUGACCCUUGCCACUUGGCAUGUGUUUAAACUGGGGAUUUCCAAAUGCAA
This is a long non-coding RNA of Mauremys mutica (yellowpond turtle), 1060 nucleotides long. RefSeq lists it as uncharacterized. The record is from RefSeq and is a predicted model, not a curated record. The transcript has 3 exons. Lineage: Eukaryota; Metazoa; Chordata; Testudines; Geoemydidae.